Molecule: transfer RNA, 74 nt
Filed under: Chlamydiae bacterium SM23_39
Lineage: Bacteria; Pseudomonadati; Chlamydiota
Also listed under: 1 other name
Description: tRNA-Val
Rfam family: tRNA
About the family: Transfer RNA (tRNA) molecules are approximately 80 nucleotides in length. Their secondary structure includes four short double-helical elements and three loops (D, anti-codon, and T loops).
Source: RNAcentral
GGGAUAUUAGCUCAGUAGGUUAGAGCGCUACGUUGACAUCGUAGAGGUCAGCUGUUCGAAUCAGCUAUAUCCCA